AGCUCCAAUAGCGUAUAUUAAAGUUGUUGCGGUUAAAAAGCUCGUAGUUGGAUCUCAGUUCAUGCUAUGUGGUCCACUUGCCGGUGGCUACUACUUAGCUGAACAUUUUACAGACCUGUCUUGUGAUGCUCUUCACCGGGUGUCAUGAGCGAUCUGUACGUUUACUUUGAACAAAUUAGAGUGCUUAAAGCAGGCGUAACGCCUGGAUAAUCUUGCAUGGAAUAAUGGAAUAGGACCUCGGUUCUAUUUUGUUGGUCUUCGGAUCCUGAGGUAAUGAUUAAGAGGGACAGACGGGGGCAUUCGUAUUGCGGCGCUAGAGGUGAAAUUCUUGGACCGUCGCAAGACGAACUACAGCGAAAGCAUUUGCCAAGAAUGUUUUCAU
Molecule: ribosomal RNA, 382 nt
Filed under: uncultured eukaryote
Lineage: Eukaryota
Description: SSU rRNA
Rfam family: Eukaryotic small subunit ribosomal RNA
Source: RNAcentral